GUUGGUCUGAAAAUCAUGUUGGCGUGAACCAACAUCAAGCACAGUUGUUAAGUAUGUGAUCCACAGUUGUUCAGUUGUAGAACAGGAACCAGUCUCUUAAAGUGAAUACCUACUCUUUUCUAAAUCUGUCAAGACUGGGAAAGUUGCAUGGUAUUUCCACAGCUUUGAGAGGUUGCUAAGAGCAACAGUGAGUCUGGCAGAACAGACUUCUUUGGGAUCUUCAGGAGGAGAUCAAGCCAAGACAAACUGUAACUGUGGAGGGUUAGCCAAAGGGGAAGUUGCCUUAGGAAUGAGUCCAAUGGUAACAGCGGUCUGACUGAGCAAAGAUUCGCCAGGAGGUUAGCCAGGGAAAGGACAUAUUAAGACAGUCAUUACCAAGGUUUACACCAAGUGGAAGGGACCUGAUGCCUGCCGAGGCCACUGAGGAGAGUGUUUCCUGAAGAUGAAGAAGAGAGUGUGAAGCAGAGAGAGAGAAGAGCAGCUGCAGGUCGCAAAAAACUCAGACAUGUGACUGUUGCCUUUAUGUGAGGGAACAAAAGGGCAUGAGCCUUGCAAAGGGCAGAAGACAAUAGUGACUGAAGUAAAGUGAUGAUUCCUGCCAUCGUAGUG
This is a long non-coding RNA of Xiphophorus couchianus (Monterrey platyfish), 609 nucleotides long. RefSeq lists it as uncharacterized. The transcript has 3 exons. The record is from RefSeq and is a predicted model, not a curated record. Lineage: Eukaryota; Metazoa; Chordata; Actinopteri; Cyprinodontiformes; Poeciliidae.